AAAGGUUGAUGAAGAACAAGGAAAAACCAGCAACAAGAUCCACUAAAAUGGAAGGUAUUCCAACAGAUCUUUCAUAUCAAAACAAUGAAAUCCACUUACUCUUGGCAUUACAAUCCGGUGGAUCUUCAAACAACGACAACGAAAGCUGUUUUUGAGCAACACCAAUAUCGAACAGAAUUAGGCCAGACUUCGGAUCAUCGAUAACAAUGU
This 210-nucleotide long non-coding RNA is filed under the name Olea europaea (common olive). Its description in RNAcentral is "long non-coding RNA (OEUR_LNC002642)". The record is from RNAcentral. Lineage: Eukaryota; Viridiplantae; Streptophyta; Magnoliopsida; Lamiales; Oleaceae.